Molecule: ribosomal RNA, 465 nt
Filed under: uncultured bacterium
Lineage: Bacteria
Description: partial 16S ribosomal RNA
Rfam family: Bacterial small subunit ribosomal RNA
Source: RNAcentral
GACGAACGCUGGCGGCGUGCUUAACACAUGCAAGUCGAACGGAAAGGCCCCUUUGGGGGUACUCGAGUGGCGAACGGGUGAGUAACACGUGAGUAACCUGCCCUUGACUUCGGGAUAACUUCAGGAAACUGGGGCUAAUACCGGAUAGGAAUCCUUGCUGCAUGGUGGGGGUUGGAAAGCUUCGGCGGUUUUGGAUGGACUCGCGGCUUAUCAGCUUGUUGGUGGGGUAGUGGCUUACCAAGGCUUUGACGGGUAGCCGGCCUGAGAGGGCGACCGGCCACAUUGGGACUGAGAUACGGCCCAGACUCCUACGGGUGGCAGCAGUGGGGAAUAUUGCACAAUGGGCGGAAGCCUGAUGCAGCAACGCCGCGUGCGGGAUGACGGCCUUCGGGUUGUAAACCGCUUUCAGCAGGGGCGAAGCUUGUGGUGACGGUACCUGCAGAAGAAGCACCGGCUAACUACGUG